CAGUCGCCGCGAGAAUACGUAGGGUGCAAGCGUUAAUCGGAAUUACUGGGCGUAAGGCGUGCGCAGGCGGUUUUGUAAGACAGGCGUGAAAUCCCCGGGCUCAACCUGGGAAUGGCGCUUGUGACUGCAAAGCUAGAGUGCGGCAGAGGGGGAUGGAAUUCCGCGUGUAGCAGUGAAAUGCGUAGAUAUGCGGAGGAACACCGAUGGCGAAGGCAAUCCCCUGGGCCUGCACUGACGCUCAUGCACGAAAGCGUGGGGAGCAAACAGGAUUAGAUACCCCUGUAGUCCCUGUCUCUUAUAC
This 301-nucleotide ribosomal RNA is filed under the name uncultured bacterium. Its description in RNAcentral is "partial 16S ribosomal RNA". It matches the Rfam family "Bacterial small subunit ribosomal RNA", at positions 509 to 807 of the family's 1533-position model. The record is from RNAcentral.